GACGGGGGGGGGCAAGUGUUCUUCGGAAUGACUGGGCGUAAAGCGCGUGUAGGCGGCUUUGCAAGUCGGGUGUGAAAGCCCUCGGCUCAACCUCGAGACGUCGGCGGAAACCCUCUGGCUAGAGUCCGGAAGAGGAGAGUGGAAUUCCUGGUGUAGCGGUGAAAUGCGCAGAUAUCAGGAAGAACACCCGUGGCGAAGGCGGCUCUCUGGGACGGUACUGACGCUGAGACGCGAAAGCGUGGGGAGCAAACAGG
This 254-nucleotide ribosomal RNA is filed under the name uncultured bacterium. Its description in RNAcentral is "partial 16S ribosomal RNA". It matches the Rfam family "Bacterial small subunit ribosomal RNA", at positions 524 to 776 of the family's 1533-position model. The record is from RNAcentral.